UACGGAAGGCAGCAGUAGGGAAUCUUCGGCAAUGGGGGAACCCUGACCGAGCAACGCCGCGUGAGUGAAGAAGGUUUUCGGAUCGUAAAGCUCUGUUGUAAGAGAAGAACGUGUGUGAGAGUGGAAAGUUCACACAGUGACGGUAACUUACCAGAAAGGGACGGCUAACUACGUGCCAGCAGCCGCGGUAAUACGUAGGUCCCGAGCGUUGUCCGGAUUUAUUGGGCGUAAAGCGAGCGCAGGCGGUUUGAUAAGUCUGAAGUAAAAGGCUGUGGCUUAACCAUAGUAUGCUUUUGGAAACUGUCAAACUUGAGUGCAGAAGGGGAGAGUGGAAUUCCAUGUGUAGCGGUGAAAUGCGUAGAUAUAUGGAGGAACACCGGUGGCGAAAGCGGCUCUCUGGUCUGUAACUGACGCUGAGGCUCGAAAGCGUGGGGAGCAAAC
This 441-nucleotide ribosomal RNA is filed under the name uncultured bacterium. RNAcentral's name for it is "bacterial SSU rRNA". It matches the Rfam family "Bacterial small subunit ribosomal RNA", at positions 340 to 773 of the family's 1533-position model. The record is from RNAcentral.